This 3148-nucleotide long non-coding RNA is filed under the name Marmota monax (woodchuck). The stretch from base 1421 to 1489 matches the Rfam family "tRNA". The record is from RNAcentral. Lineage: Eukaryota; Metazoa; Chordata; Mammalia; Rodentia; Sciuridae.
UGGGUGGGCUGUCGUGACAGCCUUGUCGGAGUCCAAGCGGCCGGAGGCCCUGUAUGCCUUCUGUAUAAGAAGCUGGCCCAGCGAGCGGGCCUGGUGGGGCUGUGCAGACCGCUGUGCCACGGAGCGACCUUCAGUUUACCGGUCUGUGAGAUGAGGCUGGCAGCGACCCUGAUGAACUACCCCCCAGUUCCCAGAGGGUGGUGAAGUGUACGUGGACAAUCCUGCGAUGUGGCAGUUGUAUCCCCCGCCACCGUGUAGCCCGCCUAGGGCUCUUGGUUUGAGUCUACAGAAGAUCAUACGCAGGAGAUUGGGGUGGCCCUAUGUUUUUAAGAAUUAAGUAGGUGUGGUAAAGCUUGAAGGAGGGCGCCCUGUGGAUCGGAAUCCCUCCUGAAAGAGUACCCCUCAGGUCUGAAUUCUCUCACUAGCACUUAAGAUAAGAGGAGUCCCAGGAAGGGGAGGAUACUAGCCUUGCAUGACCUAAGCAGUUGGUCCUCCUGCCCAGAGUGCGCAAGGUUUGGGUAGUGCUACCUCAUCUGAAGCUCUCACCCACAAGGUGCUGUUGGGAAGGUAUGGACCAACUUUCAGGAGAGAGAGAUGAACUGGGCUGAAGGAUAAGUCAUAGCCUAGCAAAUGUUACUUAUUGGAGGGGGCAUAGGAUUGUGAUCUGGAGUAGAGGGAUACCCUGUUGCACCAGAGAGGAUCUGGCUACAGUGCUCUCUAACCACAUUCUAGUUCCUCCAAUCCGUGCCCCCAUUGUUUCCAGAAUCUGAGCUCUUUCAAAGCCAGUCUGUCAUCAAAUUUGGCUUGUAGAGAUGUGCAGGUGCUCCCUCUGUCCUGAUGGUUCUCGCUGGUAGCUCAGGAAGGGCUUGCCAGGGUCCUUCUGUCUUAUAUGAAAGAUGAAGUAAUUGGUUCUAAGAUGAUGUGCCUCACACAGGAUCACAUGAGAAUCACGUAAAUGUUAGGCAUCCUGACUUUUUAGCUAAUAUUAUUAAUUUUGCUACAAGUUUAAUCAAAACAACUAGUAUUAUUUUCACUGUUGGAGAUUGGUUUUUUGUUUGUUUGGAAACUAUCCAUGUAGCAUAAACUGUACUUUAAAACACAUUGCCUUAAACACGUCUCUUUUUUUAUCCCUAGUACUUCUUGUGGAUUGUCACCUUAAAAUGUUGAUAACACAAGUGUUUCUUGCCUAAUGUAAUUUGUCUAUUUUUAAAAAUCAUAAAUUUGGUAAUAAAAUGAGCCUGUAACUUAAAAUGGGAAAAUUAUGCUGGAUCACACUUCUCCAAACUAAUUUCAUAAAUGUAAAUAAAAUAUGGCACAGUGUGUUCUUUUAAGUAUAGAUUAGGCAUCCUUAAUCCAAAAAUAUGAAAUUUGAAACUAUUUUGGACUAGGUAUAUAACCAUUAAAAUCUAUGCAGAGAGCUGGGGUUGUGGCUCAGCAGUAGAGCGCUCACCUAGCACUUGUGAAGCCCUGGGUUCAAUCCUCAGCACCACAUAUAAAUAAAACAAAGGUAUUUUGUCCACCUAUAACUUAAAAAAAAUCUAUGCAGAUAUUCCAAAAUCCAGAAAACUCUGAAAUUUGAAAUAAUUCUGGUCUCAAGCAUUUGGAAUAAGGGACACUUAACAUGUAACAAACUAUUUUUUUGAAGUAAACAUACCUUUUAUGAUGUAGCAAAACUUAAAACAGUCUAUUGAUCUGCAAAUAUUUUGUUUUUAAUGAUUUAGGUGGCCUCCACUUAUACCAGUAUUCUUACUGAAGUCCAUGCAGUUGACAUUGCUUGUGAUUUUCAGUACUUGUACAUGUGGCCAUGCAGCUAACUUGAUUGUAUUUUAAGACUGUCCCUUAAAAUACACUGAGUUCUUGUCCAGCUUGGUGGCACAUGCCUGUAAUCCUAGUGGCUCAGGAGGCUGAGUCAGAAAGCAUGAGUUCAAAGCCAGCCUCAGCAAAAACGAGUUGCUAAGCAACUCAGUGAGACCCUGUCUGUAAAUAAAAUACAAAAUAGGGCUGGGGAUGUGGCUCAGUGGUCGAGUGCCCCUGAAUUCAGUCCAAAGUACCACUCCCCCCCAAAAAAAAACCCCAAACAAAAACAUUGAGUUCUUGGGCUGGGUGGUUGUGGCUCAGUGGCAGAGUGCUUGCCUAGCAUGUGUGGGGCACUAGGUUUGAUCCUCAGCACCACAUAAAAAUAGGUAAAUUGUGUUCAUCCACAGCUAAAAAUAUUUUUUAAAAAUUGCAUUCUGGAUGAUUAGUAUAUAAGCACUUACUAACCCUAACCAACUGAUACAUACUGAGAAAAAUAUGCACUCAUUUAUUUGAGGUUCUGUGGCUCCACAUUUUGGAAGGAAUUCAGCUGGAAAUUUUUUGCUAGUGUUGUCUGGAUCAGACAUGAGGCUUUGGACAUUGGGUGCCUCAACUGAGGCUGCUUGCCUUAACACUUGCAUGGUUAGUAAUUUGCGCUAGCUCUUGGCUAGAGCAAUGUAGCCCCAGGCUUCUUCACAGCAUGUCUUUGUCCGAAGAGACCAGCACCAGUGGGCAAGUGCUUUUCAAACGUGUGUGUUUGACAUUUCCUGUUGUCUCAUUGGCCAAGGCAGUAACAUAAAUAGCAGAGUCCAGGUUUGUGGUACUGUAUAAGUGCUUGCAUACAGAGAGAUGGCUUAUUGGGAACCACUACUGGAACAGUGUACUAUAAGAAGUAUAUAUUAUGUAUAUUUUUCCUAUAUAACUAUGGGUCCAAAAUGAUGGGUUGCAGCAAGCAUACUUUUUUUUUUUUUUUUUUGGUACCAGGGAUUGAACUCAGGGGCACUCACCAUUGAGCCACAUCCCCAACUGAGACAGGGUCUCAGUUCCUUAGUGCCUUACUUUUUUUAAAUAUUUAUUUUUUAAUUUUAGGUGGAUACAAUAUCUUUAUUUUAUUUUUAUGUGGUGCUGAGGAUCAAACCCAGUGCCUCACACAUGCUAGGUGAGCACUCUAUCACUUGAGCUACAACCUCAGCCCCAGUGCCUCGCUUUUUGCUGAGGCUGGUUUUGAAUUUGCGAUCCCCCUGCCUCAGCCUCCCAAGCUGCUGGGAUCACAGGCAUGUGCCAUCAUGCGCAGCACAUGCAUACUUUUCAUGAAACUUAAGUAUGCAAACCAAGGGGUGUGGUGGAAAUGCUC